UACGUAGGGGGCGAGCGUUGUUCGGAUUUACUGGGCGUAAAGCGUGCGCAGGCGGCCUUGCAAGUCAGAUGUGAAAUCCCCGGGCUCAACCUGGGAACUGCAUUUGUGACUGCAUGGCUAGAGUACGGUAGAGGGGGAUGGAAUUCCGCGUGUAGCAGUGAAAUGCGUAGAUAUGCGGAGGAACACCGAUGGCGAAGGCAAUCCCCUGGACCUGUACUGAGGCUCAUGCACGAAAGCGUGGGGAGCAAACAGG
This 253-nucleotide ribosomal RNA is filed under the name uncultured bacterium. RNAcentral's name for it is "partial 16S ribosomal RNA". It matches the Rfam family "Bacterial small subunit ribosomal RNA", at positions 524 to 776 of the family's 1533-position model. The record is from RNAcentral.